RNA transcript from Eleginops maclovinus (Patagonian blennie), 1229 nucleotides. RefSeq lists it as uncharacterized. The record is from RefSeq and is a predicted model, not a curated record. The transcript has 8 exons. NCBI's taxonomy places the organism in Eukaryota, Metazoa, Chordata, Actinopteri, Perciformes, Eleginopidae.
UGCCCCAGCGUCCCCAGACCCCCCUCUGCAAUGCUGCCACACUGGCAGCUCCAACAUCGCAACACCUGUAAAUCUUAAAUUCGAGCUCGAUUUUCCUCUUUUCAUCCCUGGAGAAGUUUGACUUUUGGAUUACACCGACAGGAAACAACACAGUGAUCACCAAGUGGAAUGGAAUAAUUUAAUAACUUGGACACUUUUCUACAGAUAAGCGGAUGCUGAUUGGAUAUUCAACUGAACCUGUGAUUUUUCAUUUACUUCUGCAUGAGGAGGCUUUCCCCUCAAUUUGAAGGAUUAUAGCUGAAAUUGUCUCCAUAUCACCAUGGCUCAAGGCGCCUCCUCUGCAGCCGUUGGGUCAAAUGGAGCAGCUGCAGCACAGAGGCCCAAAGGGCUGGGGCUCCUCGGUAAGCUCAAAGUGUCUGCGGAGCUACUCAUCGCCCUGGCUGCUCUCCUGUCCUGGGUGGUGGUGGGAGUGGUGAUGUUUGACUUUGUGGAGUACAAGGCAGUUCCUGACAUUCAGCAAAUCGUUUCGGACCCUGUGAAAGCUGUAAACGAUGCUGUUGAUGAAGUAACCAGUCUGUUCAAUAAGUUUCAAGAAUGUACACCUGAUUUAAGUGACCCCAGUUCCGCCGCCACUUACGCAGCUGAGGAAAUAUCGGAAGCAAAAGAUGGAUUUGUUCGCUAUUUUUCAGAUGAUGAAGGGAACUUCUACCUCAGCUAUGUCGACCCGGUGGUCUUCGGUAGACAAGCUUUCCAUUCGACUAAUGAUUUCAUGUGUGGCGUUGUGGGCACCUUCAAAGACACACUGUGUGGGAUUGUGGACACUGUAUUGGAUGCUAUAAUGGGUAUAAAGAAAGGAGAAGUUGACAUUAGCUACAUUGACCCGGUGGUCACGGCAGAGGAUUCUUCAGUGUUACUAAUGACUUUAUAUGUGGAGUGGGGGCCUACAUCCAGGGUGUGUUCUGUGCCAUUUUUGACACAAUUUUGGAUGUAGUGAAAGGAACUGUUGAUCUUAGCUUCAUAGACCCUGUGGUGGCUGGGCAGAAAUCUUUUCAGUGCUACAAAUGAAGGCGUUAAUGGUGUAGUGGGCUACAUCCAGGAGAUGCUUUGUACCAUCGUAGACAGUGUACUGGAUGUAACAAAAGGAGCCACUGACCUUAGCUACAUUGACCCUGUGGUUAUCGGUAGGGAUGCCUUCAGUGUUGCUAACGACUUUCUGAGUAAAAUAUCAG